AGUUGAUAUAUUGUUUGUCUUCAACAGGUUUUCAUCACUACAGCUAUAUUCUACAAGCAGAGCAUGGUCUCAAUGAAAAUAUAAGAAAGAAGAUAUAAAGCUAGCUGCAUCCCAUGCUGAAUGUAAUUACACUCUGUGUCCAGGUUUUGGCAGUCUCUCUUCAAGAAUGUGCAGGAGACAAGAAAAAAAAAUCAGAUGCUGAGAAAACAUUGCCUCUAUAUAAAAACUGUGUGACUGUAGGACUGUAAGAAGAGGAGGAGGUCAAGGAGUGGGAAUGGGGAAGAUAUAGCAGUUUUCAGAGUUGGAGCCAAAGGUUACAGCCAGGUGCAAAAUGACUGACCACUUUUAGUGAUGGAAUUAAAUCUGCUGGUACAUCAUGUAUGUCUGUACCAUCAUGAUGGGACUAGAACCAAAUAUUCCUGCUACCUACUGACUAGCUGAAAUUCUGCCCGUGGAAUGGAUCAACUCAUCUGUUUCUCAAGGCAAAGUAACUCAGACAUGGGUAAUAGCUCACAGUAUAGACGUGCCUAUAAAGGCAAUAAAUUUGAGUAUGACCUUGAGUACA
Molecule: long non-coding RNA, 565 nt
Filed under: Numida meleagris (helmeted guineafowl)
Lineage: Eukaryota; Metazoa; Chordata; Aves; Galliformes; Numididae
Description: lncRNA (ENSNMEG00000019185.1)
Source: RNAcentral